Hordeum vulgare subsp. vulgare (domesticated barley) is the source of this 125-nucleotide non-coding RNA. The record is from Rfam. Lineage: Eukaryota; Viridiplantae; Streptophyta; Magnoliopsida; Poales; Poaceae.
UACAUACUCCCUCCGUCCAGAAUUACUUGUCCGAGGAAUGGAUGUAUCUAGAUGUGUUUUAGUUUUAGAUACAUCCAUUUUUAUCCAUUUCUCCGCCAAGUAUUUCUGGAUGGAGGAAGUAUGAC